Molecule: long non-coding RNA, 1624 nt
Organism: Ictalurus punctatus (channel catfish)
Lineage: Eukaryota; Metazoa; Chordata; Actinopteri; Siluriformes; Ictaluridae
Source: Ensembl
AACAUCGAUAAUAGAUGAUGUCUGAUGGCUUUUUAUUAUUUUAUUUAGACCCAGUGUGUGACCGGGCCACGGAACCGGCUCUGCUCCAACUCACAGAGGUUCCUCAGGACCAGCUCAUGGACACUGUGACUGAGGCUGAGGAGAAGACUCAGAAGCUUCUGGUGUCCAAUACUCAGCUGCAGGAGAGAGUGAGGGAGCUGGAGGAACUGCUCUGUGAGGCACGCAGAGAUGACAUGAAAAGCAAGGUCUCCCUGACUGAAGCGGUGGAGAAACACCAGAAGGCUGAGGAGACCAUCACUCAGCUGCAGAUGGAGAAGGCUGACCUGACCAACCAGGUGGAGACACAGCGAGGAAAAUGCAGGACGUGGAGAAGCUGCUGUCUGAGACUCACAGGAUGUUUGAUGAUCUAAUGAAUGAGUAUCAGAUGAAGAACGAUGAGAUGAAAAAGCGUCUGAUAGACGCAGAGGAGAUACUGAAGUUCUCCAUGACUGAGGCUGAGGAGUCCAUCACUCAGCUGCAGAUGGAGAAGGCUGACCUGACCAACCAGGUGGAGACACUGCAAGAGACAGUGCAGUACUUGGGGAACCUCCUCAAUGAGACUCACAGGUGCUCUGAUGAUCUAAUGAAUGAGUAUCAGAUGAAGAACGAUGAGACGGAGAAGCGUCUGAUAGACGCAGAGGAGAUACUGAAGGCCUCCCUGACUGAAGUGGAGAAGAAACACCAGAAGGCUGAGGAGACCAUCACUCUGCUGCAGGUGGAGAAGGCUGACCUGAAAGAUCAUGUGAAGACACUGCAAGGAAGAGUGCAGGACAUGGGGAACCUGCUCACUGAGACUGACAGAGAGUGUGACAUGCUAAUGAAUGAGUGUGAGUGUGAGCGAGAGGCUUACAGCAACCUCAAGUCCGAGUACGAGGAGAUGAAGGAGACUCUCAUCAACAAGGAGGAGAUACUGAAGGUCUCCCUGACUGAAGCGGAGGAGAAACACCAGAAGGCUGAGGAGACCAUCACUCUGCUGCAGGUGGAGAAGGCUGACCUGACCACCCAGGUGGAGACACUGCAAGAGACAGUGCAGGACUUGGAGACCCUGCUGUCUGAGACUCACAUCUGGGCUGCUGCUCUAAUGAAUGAGUAUCAGAUGAAGAACGAUGAGAUGAAAAAGCGUCUGAUAGACGCAGAGGAGAUACUGAAGGUCUCCCUGACUGAAGCGGUGGAGAAACACCAGAAGGCUGAGGAGACCAUCACUCAGCUGCAGAUGGAGAAGGCUGACCUGACCAACCAGGUGGAGACACUGCAAGAGACAGUGCAGUACUUGGGGAACCUCCUCAAUGAGACUCACGGGUGCUCUGAUGAUCUAAUGAAUGAGUGUGAGUGUGAGCGAGAGGCUUACAGCAACCUCAAGUCCGAGUACGAGGAGAUGAAGGAGACUCUCAUCAACAAGGAGGAGAUACUGAAGGCCUCCCUGACUGAAGUGGAGGAGAAACACCAGAAGGCUGAGGAGUCCAUCACUCUGCUGCAGGUGGAGAAGGCUGACCUGACCACCCAGGUGGAGAGACUGCGAGAGACAGUGCAGUACUUGGGGAACCUGUUCACUGAGGCUCAGAUGGAGUGUGAUGAGCUAAGAGAU